Molecule: long non-coding RNA, 230 nt
Filed under: Phoenix dactylifera (date palm)
Lineage: Eukaryota; Viridiplantae; Streptophyta; Magnoliopsida; Arecales; Arecaceae
Description: long non-coding RNA (PDAC_LNC022524)
Source: RNAcentral
CUUGAAUGAAGAAGAUUAGGGCACUUUUGUUUUCUUGUGUACUCUUUGAUAUCUCUUUCAAAAGUUAUUCUAUCUGAUGAAUAGUGCCCCUUUAAAUAGCUUCCCACAUCCUUUCGACAAGCCCCAAUGGUUAGAUUUGAAAAACUAGCCGUUACUGACCUUGGGAAGGACAAAAAGUACAUCUGCAGAACUAGCCGUUAUGCUUCAGCCCGUGUUUGGGUCGGCUCAAC